Molecule: ribosomal RNA, 253 nt
Filed under: uncultured bacterium
Lineage: Bacteria
Description: partial 16S ribosomal RNA
Rfam family: Bacterial small subunit ribosomal RNA
Source: RNAcentral
UACGUAGGGUGCAAGCGUUGUCCGGAAUUAUUGGGCGUAAAGAGCUCGUAGGUGGCCUGUCGCGUCGGCUGUGAAAACUCGGGGCUCAACUCCGAGCUUGCAGUCGAUACGGGCAGGCUAGAGUUCGGCAGGGGAGACUGGAAUUCCUGGUGUAGUGGUGAAAUGCGCAGAUAUCAGGAGGAACACCGGUGGCGAAGGCGGGUCUCUGGGCCGAUACUGACACUGAGGAGCGAAAGCGUGGGGAGCGAACAGG